Pecten maximus is the source of this 1152-nucleotide long non-coding RNA. RefSeq lists it as uncharacterized. The transcript is spliced from 5 exons. The record is from RefSeq and is a predicted model, not a curated record. NCBI's taxonomy places the organism in Eukaryota, Metazoa, Mollusca, Bivalvia, Pectinida, Pectinidae.
ACAGCAUUAUCAAAACUUUGCAUUUCUUUAAAAAAAUGAUAUAUAUAGUAGUUCUUUUGCACACAUCUAUCAUGUAAGCUAUCUGAAGCACCAAGCUACAUUCAAAUGAUUUUUAUUUCAAGCCAAAAUAUUGCUUGUUUUUUUAUGGAUUUACAAUGCAAUCAAGACAUUCCAGAGGGAUCUUGGCACCCACCAUUACAUGAUUUUUAUAGGUUUCAUGUCAGACUGAUCUUCUCUCUAUUUUCCCCUUUUUCCUCUUACAUGAACACAUGAAACCUACAAGUGAAAUCUGAGAAACAUUUAUAACAAACUUGAAUUCUCGAAAUACAAGAUGGCCUCCUGUCGGCCAUUUUAUCAUUUGUGUCAUAAUAGUUUAUGUAUAAAUGUAGACCAUAUAAGUUUAGAACCCCAUUUUAUUAACAAUAAUAGACAGUAUUGUUUAAAUUCAAACAUUUGUCAUGGUCAUGUAGGUUUUAGGGACUGUUUGUUAAAUUUGAAAAUUUGAAAUAUUUUUUUUUAAUUUUAUUUUUUGAGGGUAUUAGCUAUUGUAUCCGGAGACACAAUAUUCCCGACCACCGCCACGGGGAGGCUCCCUCUUUAGAUGAUCCUGAAGCUGAUUGUCUCCCCUGCCAUGUUGCUGAAUGACUGGAUCUAGCUGCCCUCUCCUGUAGUCGGACUUUCGAGCGGACUUGGACCUUUUCUUAUGAUCUUUAUGCUGUGCUGCCAGUCUUGAUAGAGCUCUCUUCUUCACUUCAGGAGCUCCAAUACCAACAUCUGGUCAUCUGGCGUCAUCUGAAGAUGAUGUAUCUGGUUCGAACUGAGGAACAUUGAGCGCACCCACCAGUUGUCACCGUCAUCUCCAGAGCACACCUCGGAGUGCUGACUACACUUGGAACAGUCCCCUGAAUAGCACGACACGGUGGCAUCUAACACAUCAGUCUCCGAGUCUGACGAGGCGGUGGAUGCAUGUAUUGUACAGGGUCUAUCUUCGGUGUCCGCUGCUACAUUGGAUUGACUUUCCGGUCUUGGUGUUGUCACCAGCUGAGAUACUUUGGUGACGGUCAGUCUUCUGGUCAGAACUGGGGUCACCUCUGUGUUGACAGGGUCCUGUGUGAAAAGUCCUGAUUUGACCUCUACCCCUGACCCGGAUGU